Pseudopipra pipra is the source of this 5141-nucleotide long non-coding RNA. RefSeq lists it as uncharacterized. NCBI's taxonomy places the organism in Eukaryota, Metazoa, Chordata, Aves, Passeriformes, Pipridae. The record is from RefSeq and is a predicted model, not a curated record. The transcript is spliced from 2 exons.
CGGUUCCAGACCUUAACCCUGCUCUGCGCGGGAAGGUGGCGUCAUGGAACCCAGCGUGUGCUGGCCCCCUGCCCAGUUGUGUCCAUCAGGGGUUUCUUGUCAUGUCAAGGACAGGGCGCUGCGCGGUCGGUGGCACACACGGUGGAGGUGUCACCCAAAGAGCCUUCACCACAUCUCCAAUGCCCCUGUGGGGGGCCCGACCUGCAGGGGACUAGGCUCCAGCUCCAGGCUGGGCAAGUGGUCGAUCCAACUCCUAAAACCCGGAUGUCAGCAAAGGGACAGCAGCACUAUCAGAGAAUCUAACAGGAGAUGAGCAUUCAUGGUGAAUAGCUCAAAGAUGAGCGUGUGCAACAGGAAAUUUUGAGAUAUCCUGAGUAAUUACAGACUGCAGAUGUAGGCUUAAUUUGUCUCUCUACCAGUUUUGAUUAGAUGGUUAUGUAGAAACCCUUCACUCUACCACACCCAGACUGGGGAGUUCUGGGUGAAUGAGUAGAAAUGGAGCUUGUACUUUGAAAUAAUUAAUUCAAACAGAAGUGGAAAUAAAUGGGGGGAAAAAGGGAAUGUUGUUUACCUCUGAUGCUCUUGAGGUUGCUAAGAUCGUUCCUGAUGCCUUAUGAUUUCAUUGCAUUAGGGUAAGAUCAAAGAGGGAGAUAUUGUACUAACUUGAACCAGUACAUUUUCUUUAAGGAGAGGAGAAGGUCCUGGUGGAAAUGUCAAGACCCUACAAACUGCCUGGCCAAUUGACUUGAAUGUGUAAGUUUUCUCUGCUUCAGGUAUAUAGCUGCUAGCCUCGAAGCUAGACUCAGUGUUGCUAGAGGGAUUCCCUUUACCCAUUACAGAUAUAGCCAAUGUGAGAUUUUAGAUAGUCCGCAUCUUGUCUUUUACACUUUAUUUCAGUUAUUGCUAUGUCAAAGUAGCUUUUACAACACCUAUGCUGUGAAACCGAAUUUGUUUCAUGUCAUUAUCCUUUACAUUAUAGUAUUCUUUCCACAAAAGCAAAUAUAUGGCUCUCCCCAUCUAGAUUUAGCAUUGGAUUUUAAAAGCUUUACAGUUACCUACAUACACGGUAUAUCUCUACAUUUCAGCUGACAUGAGGCUGACCACAUUUUCUACGUAAUUUCCUUAGAAAUUUUACCUGUCACAGAGGCUGCAGUAACUUUACUCUGAUUGCCACUGUGUACAAUACAGCAAGAAUAGCUUUCAGUUAUUCUUUGAUUACUAGCAAAAUAAUUGCAUUUGUUCAAUAUACCACUCAUAGAAUAAUAUUUUAAAAAUAUAAGUGAAAUCAGUGCACUCAAUAUGUUUAUUAAAACAUAUGUUAUUAUAAAUGCAGUUAAAAUAUGUGAAUAUAUCAUAGAGAAGUCACCAAAAUAAAUACUCUGAGGGCUUGAUCCUCAGCUACUUUACUGGUAUCCCCUCACAAUGAGCUCUUUUUCAUUGCUUUCUUUUCCAACACAAGAGAAUGUGGCCAUAAAUAAUACAGUUUAUUUCAAUGCUCUUAGUACAGCAUGGGGUCAUAUAUACAUAAUCCUAUAGCUAAAUACAUACAGCUCUAGCUGGACUUCUAAUAUUGUAAAGCCCAAAGAGCACAUCAGAUAAUCUAGUUUGACUUCAACCAGAAGGCUGCUUGUUACAAAUUAAUGGUUAAUGCAGGAAAUAAGUCUGAAAGGGACCCUCUGUACCUUCUAAUGUUGCAUGUGACGUCUUUGCUGUCACAUGUAACUCAAGUAAAUAAAUAAUUUUUUAACUAAAUAUUUAUCUUUUUCCUAAGUUUUCUUGCUGCUAUUAACUGCACUGAAAACAGUUGCAAAAUUUCAUUCCUUGGAAGUGGAGAAUGCCAAAUUAUUUAUCAAUUUUCAAGCAAUUUCUUUUAUUAGUUUAGUUCUUAGUAUAGGAUUAUUUAUGCUGAUUUUUUCCUGGCCAGGGCUGCUUAUGAAUUUAGUUUUUCUUCUUUCUGAAGUUAACUGAUAAUUUGUUGUACCCCCUCCAGCCCUUUUAAUUUAGCCUCUGUUAUCACUAUUGUCCUUUUAUUUUAGCCACUGUUAUUUCUAGUCUCCUUCCAUAAGACAGGAAACUCUCACUGUUCUUCUGGUUAUCCCACUGAGCCAUUUGUGCAUAUGUUAUUUUGAAUUCCCUGUUGUUAAACAUAGGUGACUAGUUAGUACAUUCAAUUCAGAUCUUGUACAGUGUCUCUAAUAGAAGCAUAUGGGCCUGAUACAUCCCAAGAUUGUAUUUGAUCUUUUUUCAUGUACAAAUUAAAUUAGUAGCCUCAAAUCAGUGAGCUUUAAAUCAGUGUGAUCAGUUAAUAAUUUAGAUGUCCUUUGAUGCUUCUCAUUAAUGAAGCCAUCAUUAACAGCAAGAGUUCUUGAUUUGCCCAAACUGAACAACAUAAGCUCUUUGAACUUCGCUUCGAUCCACUUUCAAGUGGGAUUUUCAUCCAUAUACUGUUUUAAUGAAGAAGGCCAUCAACUCGCUUUACCCCUGUGUUGGAUAUGUUCCAUAGCUCUGUUCCAGCCCUCUGACGGCCAUGGCCCUGAGCACAUUACCCCUUUGCAAAAGUUUACUUGGCAGAAUCCAAGGUCAGCUCCUCCACUGAUAAGAGCAGUUGUGAGAAAAGCCAUAGCGAGGGCCUGCCUCUCCUUUCUCUUCAGAGCCACUUUUAAACUGAGCCCUUGUGCUGGCCCGUGCCUGUGCCAGCAGCUCUGUUUGCACCAUCCCGCAUCUCCACGAGUCUGGCCGUGAUCCAGACUUGCUGACUUGGCAUCCUAGCUUGGUCUCGGACCUGCCUUGCCACUGCAGCCCUGCUGGGUGACCACUGGGCUGUAUCUGACCCUGACCACUGUCUCUCAACCCAGUCUUGGCCGGGGGUUGCUGUUCUGCAUCCUGGCUCCUUGUUGGUGAAGUGACUGCUUUUAUCCACCUAAGUAUUGUGCUUAGCUCCUGGCACAUCUUCUGUUGCAGAGUAGCCAUCUCAUGCUGCUCCCUGGAACCUCCCGCCCCCAAACACAGGGCCCUCCUAAUUCCCUCAUAGUUUGUAUAUAAUGUACGUUUUUGGGUGGGCAAGCUUGAAGAAAAUGGUGGAGCAAACUAGAUCGAGACAUCUUGACACAAUAAGAGGAAUAGAGUGAAAUAAAGCAGAGAAAAAUUACCAACGGGGUGUACCUAACCUCUCUCUGAAUCUCACCUUGGUUGUGUGCAGGUUUUUGUUGCUUGUCUCCAUGGGAUGUUCAUCCUAAUGGUAGAGCACUUUGCAGGAGGCACUUCAUCUUUUUUCAUAUUUUUUUUAUAGGUUCUUGCACACUGGGGAACAGAUGUAAUACAAACAUUUCCCCUCCCCCCCCCGAAAAUUAUACCCACCAAUUCUUUACUAAGUUUGUACUUGUAGGAGGCCAACAAACCACUAGAUGGCGAACAGUUUCAGCAAGAUAAUGCGUGCGUAUUCAUAUGACCUUCUGUCCUCAGCUUCAUCAUUCUGUUUCUGUCGAGCUUCAUGAGCUGGACCUGUUGGAAUGAGUCCAGAGGAAGGCCAUGAAGAUCAUAGAAUCAUAGAAUCAUAGAAUCAGCUGGGUUGGAAGGGACCUCCGAGAUCAUCAAGUCCAACCCUUGAUCCACUAGCACUGCUGUUGCUAGACCAUGGCACUGAAUGCCACAUCCAGUCUCAUCUUAAAAACCUCCAGGGACAGAGAAUCCACUACUUCCCUGGGCAGCCCAUUCCAAUGUCUGAUUACCCUCUCUGUAAAGAAAUUCUUUCUAAUAUCUAACCUAAACCUCCCCUGGCACAACUUAAGACCAUGCCCUCUUGUCUUGCUGAUAGUUGCCUGGUGAUCAGAAGGCUGGAGCACCUCUCCUAUGAAGAGAGACUGAGUGUUGGGGUUGUUCACCCUGGAGAAGGCUCCAGGGAGACCUCAUUGCAGCCUUUCAGUACCUGAAGGGAACUACAAGAGAGCUGGAGAAUAACUUUUGACAAGGGAAUGUAGUGAUAGGGCAUGGGGGUAUGGCUUCAAACUGAAAGAGAGAUUAAGAUUGGAUGUCAGGAAGCAAGUUCUUUAGUCAGAGGGUGGUGAGACACUGGAACAGGUUUCCCAGAGAAGCUGUGGAUGCCCCAACUCCGGGAAUGUUCAAGGCCAGGUUGGAUGGGGCCCUGGGAAAUCUGGUUUAGUGGAAGGUGUCCCUGCCCAGGGCAGGCAGGCUGGCACUUCAUGAACUUUAAGGUGCCUUCCAACCCAAACCAUUCCAUGAUUCUGCGAUCGUCGAGGCCAUAGCGUGUAGUACCAUGACAAUUUAUAGAAAUCCGAGGUGAAGCUGACACAGUCCUUCUCCUCCCUGCCUCUCCCUCCCUUUUGCUUUUCUAGUGUGCAUGAGUCAGGUGUGGUGUAGAUUCAUAGAGGUGAUUUUCGCAAAAACUAACAGGAAAAAAAAAGGAAAGAAAAAAGAACAACAGUAAUUAGAGUCUUCAAUGAAAGAAAAAAGCAUUUCCAAGUGCAAAAGAUUGGUGCUGCCAAUGAAUUACAGCCUGAUAUCCACUCCUCUUGUCUACUGGUGCCCAAUUUUCUUUUCUGAAUAAUGCUGUUGUUAACUAUCAGUAACACAUUUUUGCUUUCUUCCCAGAAGUCCAUACAGUUGUUUUGUAAGAACAUAUGCAAUGAAGUGUAAAAAAUCUCUCCAUUGAGCAAGGAUGUUGAUUGCUGUAGAUGCUGCAAGACAUGCUGUGCUGUCAGUAGUGAGUGGACGAGUGAUGUAUGAGGUCCUGCAUGCUGGUCUUUACUACCUUUGAAAAAUACAUUUUGGAUAGAUGUCUACAAAGGAAUGCGUUUACUCUUACUGGUAGACUAUUGGUUUGUAAUGGGAAGCAGCUCAAUUACACAUGAGAAAGGCUUUGGUAUAAGAUUCUUGGAGAAAGCAUGAUACACAAAGGUACUGAGGCAGGAAGUUUAUAUGCCCACCAGGAGGCAUAGCAAGCACGGCUUCCGUCUUGCUCACAGCCCUGAACAUGCUGCACAUGCCAGCAGUGAAGGGAAGAAAAAAUGUUCAUCAGAUUUUUACAUCCAGAAGUAGGAAAUGGAGAGAUAUUUAGAAUAAAAAAUUAAAAUGUGGAUAACUGGCAAGAGGCUGAAUAAAAUGCAUAUAAGUCAAAAUGUUCU